This 1230-nucleotide long non-coding RNA is filed under the name Olea europaea subsp. europaea. Lineage: Eukaryota; Viridiplantae; Streptophyta; Magnoliopsida; Lamiales; Oleaceae. The record is from RNAcentral.
AAUAAUCUUAAACCCUAUUCUUUGUCAAAACAUGGGACAAAGUGUGUUGGAAGCCUUGAACGUGCGAGUGGUGGGCUCUGGCGAGGAAAUCCUCGUCUUAGCCCAUGGCUUUGGCAGUGAUCAAUCGGCAUGGCAGCGCAUUCUUCCCUUUUUCUUGCGAGACUACCGCGUCGUCCUCUAUGACCUCGUCUGUGCUGGCAGUGUCAACCCGGAUUUCUUCGAUUUUAGUCGUUACUCGACCCUUGAUGCGCAUGUUGAUGACCUCCUCCACAUCCUAGAUGCCCUAGGGGUUGACCGGUGCGCCCAUGUCGGCCACUCCGUCUCGGCCAUGAUCGGGAUUCUCGCCGCCAUUAAACGCCCUGAGCUCUUCACUAAGCUUAUCCUCAUCGGUGCCUCUCCAAGGUAAGUACACCACAGCUUCAUAUCUGGAUGCACGUGUUUUCAUUAAUGUUGGACCACAAAUGGGAAUCUUUGUGUCUUUUUCUUGUUUUAAUUCAAUCCCCAUGAAGUGUAUGCCACAGUUUUCAACAUGGAAUUCAUGACUAUUUGACGAAAUUGAUCGGACUUAAUCCUCAAUUUUAUAUUCAAGACUUUUACCAGCGUACUUUUCAGGUUCUUGAAUGACAUGGACUACCACGGUGGAUUUGAAUACGGUGAAAUUGAGGAGGUAUUAUCUGCAAUGGAGGCCAAUUACGAGGCGUGGGUCAACGGCUUUGCACCGCUGGCGGUGGGGGCGGAUGUUCCGGUGGCAGUUCAAGAAUUUAGCCGUACUUUGUUCAAUAUGAGACCAGACAUAUCGUUAUUCGUAUCUCGCACUGCAUUUAACAGUGAUCUAAGAGGUGUUCUAGGCCUAGUAAAAGUGCCAUGUUCGAUAAUUCAAACCAUCGAGGAUGUCUCCGUCCCAAUGUCGGUGGCGAUGUACCUGAAGAACCACCUCGGGGGGCGGAGCACGGUGCACAUGUUGAACGUGGAGGGGCAUUUGCCACACCUGAGUGCACCAAAUUUGUUGGCCCAAGAACUCCGGCGAGCUCUAUCCCGGUGAGGUGAAGUUGGUCCAUAAGGGAAUGAAUAUGUUGUGGACAUGCUGAUUAUCUAGCAUUUGGGUUUUUUGAGAUAAUCUUAUUCUCUCAGAAAAGGAAUAAGAAUCUUCACGUGACUUUCACGUGAUGACGUGUUGCCUUUCUCCUUUUUUUGUUAUUUAUUUCUCUACCUUUCUUUCCUCCAUAAGAG